AGGUGUGAUCAUACCAGCACUAAUGCACUAGAUCCCAUCAUAACUCUGCAGAUAAACGUUCUUGUGCAAGAAUAGUACUAGAUGGGUGACCUCCUGGCAAGUCCUCGUGUUCCAUCUC
Molecule: ribosomal RNA, 118 nt
Filed under: Lupinus angustifolius (narrow-leaved blue lupine)
Lineage: Eukaryota; Viridiplantae; Streptophyta; Magnoliopsida; Fabales; Fabaceae
Source: RNAcentral